This 275-nucleotide long non-coding RNA is filed under the name Homo sapiens (human). Its description in RNAcentral is "HSALNT0117442". Lineage: Eukaryota; Metazoa; Chordata; Mammalia; Primates; Hominidae. The record is from RNAcentral.
CCUGGGCUCAGGUGCACUGCCCCGCAGGACUACAGGGUCAUUUCCAUGACUCAGUUCCUGGUUUGCCUGUCACCCCCCACCUCCCCUUCUGCAAUUGCCUGUCCUUGAGCAAGUUGCUGCCAUCAGUCAGAUGGGUAACGUGGUGCCUGCCUUUGGGGCUGUGAAGGGGAUUGAAUGAGCACAGCUGCCUCUGUCAUUUAGUCGCUUUUUGUUUCAAGUUCCCAGAGUGAGUAGUAAAUACUUCAACCAGUCAGAGUUCUCAAAAAAAGCUCAGU